Molecule: ribosomal RNA, 729 nt
Filed under: uncultured eukaryote
Lineage: Eukaryota
Description: SSU rRNA
Rfam family: Eukaryotic small subunit ribosomal RNA
Source: RNAcentral
CGGGUGCAUUGAUCCAGCCGGGCCUUUCCCUCUGUGGAACCCCAUGGCCUUCACUGGCUGUGGUGGGGAAACAGGACUUUUACUUUGAAAAAAUUAGAGUGCUCCAGGCAGGCCUAUGCUCGAAUACAUUAGCAUGGAAUAAUAGAAUAGGACGUGUGGUUCUAUUUUGUUGGUUUCUAGGACCGCCGUAAUGAUUAAUAGGGACAGUCGGGGGCAUCAGUAUUCAAUUGUCAGAGGUGAAAUUCUUGGAUCUAUUGAAGACUAACUACUGCGAAAGCAUUUGCCAAGGAUGUUUUCAUUGAUAAGGAACGAAAGUUAGGGGAUCGAAGACGAUCAGAUACCGUCGUAGUCUUAACUAUAAACUAUGCCGACUAGGGAUCGGACGAUGUUAUUCUUUGACGCGUUCGGCACCUUUCGAGAAAUCAAAGUGCUUGGGCUCCAGGGGGAGUAUGGUCGCAAGGCUGAAACUUAAAGAAAUUGACGGAAGGGCACCACCAGGGGUGGAACCUGCGGCUUAAUUUGACUCAACACGGGGAAACUCACCAGGUCCAGACACAGUGAGGAUUGACAGAUUGAGAGCUCUUUCUUGAUUCUGUGGGUGGUGGUGCAUGGCCGUUCUUAGUUGGUGGAGUGAUUUGUCUGCUUAAUUGCGAUAACGAACGAGACCUUAACCUGCUAAAUAGCCCGUACUGCUUUGGCAGUUCGCCGGCUUCUUAGAGGGACUAUCGG